UGACGCAGAUUGGCUCUGCUGUUGGUGGUACAACUAGUGCAUUUUAUGGAUUCAACCACAUUAUGCCAAUAGUCCGGAGAUGGGUAAAAGGCCCUAUGUGGUUGCAUUUUCUCAUUGGUGCACCACCUGUGAUACUAUUCUCUUCCGCUUGUGCAGGAUUUUCAG
Molecule: long non-coding RNA, 165 nt
Organism: Juglans microcarpa x Juglans regia
Lineage: Eukaryota; Viridiplantae; Streptophyta; Magnoliopsida; Fagales; Juglandaceae
Exons: 3
Source: RefSeq, a predicted model, not a curated record